Molecule: long non-coding RNA, 882 nt
Filed under: Populus trichocarpa (black cottonwood)
Lineage: Eukaryota; Viridiplantae; Streptophyta; Magnoliopsida; Malpighiales; Salicaceae
Description: long non-coding RNA (PTRI_LNC003088)
Source: RNAcentral
UUUUAUAUGCAUAAUGCCUUAGCUAGACCCGGACACUUUCCCUGAAUCUGACUUCCGGAUCAUAACUGCUGCACAAACAGACUCUCUGGGAAGAUUUGUCACCCAGGAAAAGAAAGUAUACUGAUCGGACGUGUUCAAGAAGUGUUCUCAAUGACAAACGCUAGCUAUUCCACAUUCCCGGCGGGGCUUACAUAGCAUAGUAGGGUAUGUAACACUUAGCCUUUUAUUUUUCAAAACUCCAUCCAUUAUGAGGCCUCUCAUUUCCAAUCGGUACAUUGAAUCUCACAUAUAUGAAAAGACUUUUUCCCAGUGCGUUUCACUGCUCAUAGAUGCAAGACAUUGUUAGUGCUUGACAGGCGACUUCCAUACGCUGCCCCUAGUCCAAUGCUGGCCUCGUGUUUUGUUUUUUGCCGACUUGGGGAGGACUCCCAGCUUGUAAGAACUUCCACCAUCCUGGAGCAUGUGACAUCGGAGUGCUGUCACGCACGAGUCCCAGAAAAUGAGCAAAGCAAUGUCGUCAAUCAUUCAUUGCAACAAUGGGAACCACAAAAUGAAACUGAAAAGGCUUCAACAUCUAAAUAAUGUUGCUCUUGCUGGCCUUCUCAAUUGAACUCGGACUUUGAUUGGAAUUUGUUCUGAACCCAUGCAUUUGAGAGUUUCUCAUUUCCAGCAAAAUCGUUCUAUAGAGCUUUGGAGCGUGAAGAAAAAUGAAAUCCAGACAAGUAAACCAACCCACAUUGAGGUGGGUAAGACGCUUCUCUUGUUUGUUUCUUGCAACCGAGGCGAUAAUAUCACAUAUCAAGCCCAUAGGGUAUAGCAAACACUAGCCCAUUGAGCCUCGUUACACUUGACUCAGAGUAAAAUAUUUCUUAAGCGCAUCCA